GUCGAGGGGAAACGACAUCGAAAGCUUGCUUUUGAUGGGCGUCGACCGGCGCACGGGUGAGUAACGCGUAUCCAACCUGCCCACCACUUGGGGAUAACCUUGCGAAAGUAAGACUAAUACCCAAUGACGUCUCUAGAAGACAUCUGAAAGAGAUUAAAGAUUUAUCGGUGAUGGAUGGGGAUGCGUCUGAUUAGCUUGUUGGCGGGGUAACGGCCCACCAAGGCAACGAUCAGUAGGGGUUCUGAGAGGAAGGUCCCCCACAUUGGAACUGAGACACGGUCCAAACUCCUACGGGAGGCAGCAGUGAGGAAUAUUGGUCAAUGGACGAGAGUCUGAACCAGCCAAGUAGCGUGCAGGAUGACGGCCCUAUGGGUUGUAAACUGCUUUUAUAAGGGAAUAAAGUGAGUCUCGUGAGACUUUUUGCAUGUACCUUAUGAAUAAGGACCGGCUAAUUCCGUGCCAGCAGCCGCGGUAAUACGGAAGGUCCGGGCGUUAUCCGGAUUUAUUGGGUUUAAAGGGAGCGUAGGCCGGAGAUUAAGCGUGUUGUGAAAUGUAGACGCUCAACGUCUGCACUGCAGCGCGAACUGGUUUCCUUGAGUACGCACAAAGUGGG
This 613-nucleotide ribosomal RNA is filed under the name uncultured bacterium. RNAcentral describes it as "bacterial SSU rRNA". It matches the Rfam family "Bacterial small subunit ribosomal RNA", at positions 61 to 661 of the family's 1533-position model. The record is from RNAcentral.